GGGCGGGUGGCGAAAUUGGCAGACGCGCUAGUCUCAGAAGCUAGUGAGAGCGAUCUCUUGAGGGUUCAAGUCCCUCCUCGCCCACAA
This 87-nucleotide transfer RNA is filed under the name Candidatus Roizmanbacteria bacterium CG_4_10_14_3_um_filter_39_13. RNAcentral's name for it is "tRNA-Leu". It matches the Rfam family "tRNA". Rfam says of the family: Transfer RNA (tRNA) molecules are approximately 80 nucleotides in length. RNAcentral also lists the same sequence under 3 other names. The record is from RNAcentral. Lineage: Bacteria; Candidatus Roizmaniibacteriota.